Molecule: ribosomal RNA, 155 nt
Filed under: uncultured bacterium
Lineage: Bacteria
Description: partial 16S rRNA
Rfam family: Bacterial small subunit ribosomal RNA
Source: RNAcentral
UAGGGAAUUUUCGGCAAUGGAGGAAACUCUGACCGAGCAACGCCGCGUGAGUGAAGACGGCCUUCGGGUUGUAAAGCUCUGUUGUAAGGGAAGAAAGACAGCGAGAGAAUCGCUGGUUGACGGUACCUUACCAGAAAGCCACGGCUAACUACGUG